RNAcentral lists this ribosomal RNA (274 nucleotides) under uncultured bacterium. Its description in RNAcentral is "partial 16S ribosomal RNA". It matches the Rfam family "Bacterial small subunit ribosomal RNA", at positions 523 to 796 of the family's 1533-position model. The record is from RNAcentral.
AUACGAAAGGUGCAAGCGUUGUUCGGAUUUACUGGGCGUAAAGAGAGUGUAGGUGGUUUAUUAAGUCGGAUGUGAAAUCCCGGGGCUCAACCUCGGAACUGUAUUCGAUACUGAUAGGCUAGAGUUUGGGAGGGGUAAGCGGAAUUCCGUGUGUAGCAGUGAAAUGCGUAGAUAUACGGAGGAACACCUGAGGCGAAGGCGGCUUACUGGACCAAUACUGACACUGAGACUCGAAAGCGUGGGUAGCAAACAGGAUUAGAAACCCCGGUAGUCC